RNAcentral lists this ribosomal RNA (252 nucleotides) under uncultured bacterium. RNAcentral's name for it is "partial 16S ribosomal RNA". It matches the Rfam family "Bacterial small subunit ribosomal RNA", at positions 524 to 776 of the family's 1533-position model. The record is from RNAcentral.
UACGUAGGGUGCAAGCGUUGUCCGGAAUUAUUGGGCGUAAAGAGCUCGUAGGCGGCCUGUUGCGUCCGCUGUGAAAGCCCGGGGCUUAACCCCGGGUCGCAGUGGAUACGGGCAGGCUAGAGGUAGGUAGGGGAGAAUGGAAUUCCCGGUGUAGCGGUGAAAUGCGCAGAUAUCGGGAGGAACACCGGUGGCGAAGGCGGUUCUCUGGGCCUUACCUGACGCUGAGGAGCGAAAGCGUGGGGAGCGAACAGG